GAUGAACGCUAGCGACAGGCCUAACACAUGCAAGUUGAGGGGCAGCACUUCGGGUGGCGACCGGCGCACGGGUGAGUAACGCGUAUGUAACCUGCCUACAACAGGGGUAUAGCUCGCUGAAAAGCGAAUUAAGACCGCAUAAGACUACGAUAUCGCAUGGUAACGUGGUAAAAUAUUUAUAGGUUGUAGAUGGGCAUGCGUGACAUUAGCUAGUUGGUAGGUAACGGCCUACCAAGGCAACGAUGUCUAGGGGUUCUGAGAGGAAGGUCCCCCACACUGGUACUGAGACACGGACCAGACUCCUACGGGAGGCAG
RNAcentral lists this ribosomal RNA (315 nucleotides) under uncultured Bacteroidota bacterium. Its description in RNAcentral is "bacterial SSU rRNA". It matches the Rfam family "Bacterial small subunit ribosomal RNA", at positions 28 to 351 of the family's 1533-position model. The record is from RNAcentral. Lineage: Bacteria; Pseudomonadati; Bacteroidota.